RNAcentral lists this ribosomal RNA (500 nucleotides) under uncultured bacterium. RNAcentral describes it as "bacterial SSU rRNA". It matches the Rfam family "Bacterial small subunit ribosomal RNA", at positions 21 to 507 of the family's 1533-position model. The record is from RNAcentral.
GGCUCAGGAUGAACGCUGGCGGCGUAGCUUAACACAUGGCAAGUCGAACGAAGAUGCCGGAGUGCUUGCACUUUGGCAGACUGAGUGGCGGACGGGUGAGUAACGCGUGGGUAACCUGCCUUAUACAGGGGGAUAACAGUUGGAAACGACUGCUAAUACCGCAUAAGCGNACGGUAUCGUAUGAUACAGUGUGAAAAACUCCGGUGGUAUAAGGAUGGACCCGCGUCUGAUUAGCUUGUUGGUGAGGUAACGGCCCACCAAGGCGACGAUCAGUAGGGGUUCUGAGAGGAAGGUCCCCCCACAUUGGAACUGAGACACGGUCCAAACUCCUACGGGAGGCAGCAGUGAGGAAUAUUGGUCAAUGGACGAGAGUCUGAACCAGCCAAGUAGCGUGCAGGAUGACGGCCCUAUGGGUUGUAAACUGCUUUUAUAAGGGAAUAAAGUGAGUCUCGUGAGACUUUUUGCAUGUACCUUAUGAAUAAGGACCGGCUAAUUCCGUG